GAUGAACGCUGGCGGCGUGCUUAACACAUGCAAGUCGAACGGAAAGGCUCCUGCUUGCCGGGGUACUCGAGUGGCGAACGGGUGAGUAACGCGUGGGUGAUCUGCCCUGCACUUCGGGAUAAGCCUGGGAAACUGGGUCUAAUACCGGAUAGGACCACAUUUUGGAUGGUGUGGUGGAAAGUUUUUCGGUGUGGGAUGAGCUCGCGGCCUAUCAGCUUGUUGGUGGGGUAAUGGCCUACCAAGGCGUCGACGGGUAGCCGGCCUGAGAGGGUGUACGGCCACAUUGGGACUGAGAUACGGCCCAGACUCCUACGGGAGGCAGCAGUGGGGAAUAUUGCACAAUGGGCGCAAGCCUGAUGCAGCGACGCCGCGUGGGGGAUGACGGCCUUCGGGUUGUAAACUCCUUUCGCUAGGGACGAAGCGCAAGUGACGGUACCUGGAGAAGAAGCACCGGCUAACUACGUG
This 465-nucleotide ribosomal RNA is filed under the name uncultured bacterium. Its description in RNAcentral is "partial 16S ribosomal RNA". It matches the Rfam family "Bacterial small subunit ribosomal RNA", at positions 28 to 507 of the family's 1533-position model. The record is from RNAcentral.